This 1343-nucleotide ribosomal RNA is filed under the name uncultured bacterium. Its description in RNAcentral is "16S ribosomal RNA". It matches the Rfam family "Bacterial small subunit ribosomal RNA", at positions 28 to 1378 of the family's 1533-position model. The record is from RNAcentral.
GACGAACGCUUUCGGCGUGCUUAACACAUGCAAGUCGAACGGAAAGGCCCUGCUUUUGUGGGGUGCUCGAGUGGCGAACGGGUGGGUAACACGUGAGUAACCUGCCCUUGACUUUGGGAUAACUUCAGGAAACUGGGGCUAAUACCGGAUAGGAGCUCCUGCUGCAUGGUGGGGGUUGGAAAGUUUCGGCGGUUGGGGAUGGACUCGCGGCUUAUCAGCUUGUUGGUGGGGUAGUGGCUUACCAAGGCUUUGACGGGUAGCCGGCCUGAGAGGGUGACCGGCCACAUUGGGACUGAGAUACGGCCCAGACUCCUACGGGAGGCAGCAGUGGGGAAUAUUGCACAAUGGGCGGAAGCCUGAUGCAGCAACGCCGCGUGCGGGAUGACGGCCUUCGGGUUGUAAACCGCUUUCGCCUGUGACGAAGCGUGAGUGACGGUAAUGGGUAAAGAAGCACCGGCUAACUACGUGCCAGCAGCCGCGGUGAUACGUAGGGUGCGAGCGUUGUCCGGAUUUAUUGGGCGUAAAGGGCUCGUAGGUGGUUGAUCGCGUCGGAAGUGUAAUCUUGGGGCUUAACCCUGAGCGUGCUUUCGAUACGGGUUGACUUGAGGAAGGUAGGGGAGAAUGGAAUUCCUGGUGGAGCGGUGGAAUGCGCAGAUAUCAGGAGGAACACCAGUGGCGAAGGCGGUUCUCUGGGCCUUUCCUGACGCUGAGGAGCGAAAGCGUGGGGAGCGAACAGGCUUAGAUACCCUGGUAGUCCACGCUGUAAACGGUGGGUACUAGGUGUGGGGUCCAUUCCACGGGUUCCGUGCCGUAGCUAACGCUUUAAGUACCCCGCCUGGGGAGUACGGCCGCAAGGCUAAAACUCAAAGGAAUUGACGGGGCCCCGCACAAGCGGCGGAGCAUGCGGAUUAAUUCGAUGCAACGCGUAGAACCUUACCUGGGUUUGACAUGGAUCGGGAGUGCUCAGAGAUGGGUGUGCCUCUUUUGGGGUCGGUUCACAGGUGGUGCAUGCCUGUCGUCAGCUCGUGUCGUGAGAUGUUGGGUUAAGUCCCGCAACGAGCGCAACCCUUGUUCACUGUUGCCAGCACGUUAUGGUGGGGACUCAGUGGAGACCGCCGGGGUCAACUCGGAGGAAGGUGGGGAUGACGUCAAGUCAUCAUGCCCCUUAUGUCCAGGGCUUCACGCAUGCUACAAUGGCUGGUACAGAGAGUGGCGAGCCUGUGAGGGUGAGCGAAUCUCGGAAAGCCGGUCUCAGUUCGGAUUGGGGUCUGCAACUCGACCUCAUGAAGUCGGAGUCGCUAGUAAUCGCAGAUCAGCAACGCUGCGGUGAAUACGUUCCCGGG